AACGCGAAGAACCUUACCUGGGCUCGAAGCGCAGUGGACCGGGGUAGAAAUAUCUCCGUCUCGCAAGAGACCGCUCUAUAGGUGCUGCAUGGCUGUCGUCAGCUCGUGUCGUGAGAUGUUGGGUUAAGUCCCGCAACGAGCGCAACCCUUAUUGCCAGUUGCCACCGGGUCAAGCCGAGCACUCUGGCGAAACCGCCCUAGAUAAUGGGGAGGAAGGUGGGGAUGACGUCAAGUCCUCAUGGCCUUUAUGUCCAGGGCUACACACGUGCUACAAUGGUCGGUACAAACCGUCGCAAACCCGCGAGGGGGAGCUAAUCGGAAAAAGCCGGCCUCAGUUCGGAUUGGAGUCUGCAACCCGACUCCAUGAAGCUGGAAUCGCUAGUAAUCGCGGAUCAGAACGCCGCGGUGAAUACGUUCCCGGGCCUUGUACACACCGCUAGUC
RNAcentral lists this ribosomal RNA (442 nucleotides) under uncultured bacterium. Its description in RNAcentral is "bacterial SSU rRNA". It matches the Rfam family "Bacterial small subunit ribosomal RNA", at positions 958 to 1398 of the family's 1533-position model. The record is from RNAcentral.